This 469-nucleotide ribosomal RNA is filed under the name uncultured bacterium. RNAcentral's name for it is "partial 16S ribosomal RNA". It matches the Rfam family "Bacterial small subunit ribosomal RNA", at positions 27 to 507 of the family's 1533-position model. The record is from RNAcentral.
GGACGAACGCUGGCGGCGUGCUUAGCCCAUGCAAGUCGAACGGAAAGGCCCUGCUUUUGUGGGGUGCUCGAGUGGCGAACGGGUGAGUAACACGUGAGUAACCUGCCCUUGACUUUGGGAUAACUUCAGGAAACUGGGGCUAAUACCGGAUAGGAGCUCCUGCUGCAUGGUGGGGGUUGGAAAGUUUCGGCGGUUGGGGAUGGACUCGCGGCUUAUCAGCUUGUUGGUGGGGUAGUGGCUUACCAAGGCUUUGACGGGUAGCCGGCCUGAGAGGGUGACCGGCCACAUUGGGACUGAGAUACGGCCCAGACUCCUACGGGAGGCAGCAGUGGGGAAUAUUGCACAAUGGGCGGAAGCCUGAUGCAGCAACGCCGCGUGCGGGAUGACGGCCUUCGGGUUGUAAACCGCUUUCGCCUGUGACGAAGCGUGAGUGACGGUAAUGGGUAAAGAAGCACCGGCUAACUACGUG